UACGUGGGGUGCGAGCGUUGUUCGGAAUUACUGGGCGUAAAGCGCGUGUAGGCGGUUCGCAAAGUUCGAUGUGAAAGCCCUGGGCUUAACCCAGGAACUGCAUUGAAAACUGGCGGACUUGAGUCCGGGAGAGGGUCGCGGAAUUCCUGGUGUAGAGGUGAAAUUCGUAGAUAUCAGGAGGAACACCGGUGGCGAAGGCGGCGACCUGGACCGGUACUGACGCUGAGACGCGAAAGCGUGGGGAGCAAACAGG
Molecule: ribosomal RNA, 253 nt
Filed under: uncultured bacterium
Lineage: Bacteria
Description: partial 16S ribosomal RNA
Rfam family: Bacterial small subunit ribosomal RNA
Source: RNAcentral